GUGGGGAAUCUUGCGCAAUGGGCGAAAGCCUGACGCAGCCAUGCCGCGUGAAUGAUGAAGGUCUUAGGAUUGUAAAAUUCUUUCACCGGGGACGAUAAUGACGGUACCCGGAGAAGAAGCUCCGGCUAACUUCGUGCCAGCAGCCGCGGUAAUACGAAGGGGGCUAGCGUUGCUCGGAAUUACUGGGCGUAAAGGGCGCGUAGGCGGCCCGGUAAGUCUGAAGUGAAAGUCCUGCUUUUAAGGUGGGAAUUGCUUUGGAUACUGUCGGGCUUGAGUGCAGGAGAGGUAAGCGGAAUUCCCGGUGUAGCGGUGAAAUGCGUAGAGAUCGGGAGGAACACCAGUGGCGAAGGCGGCUUACUGGACUGUAACUGACGCUGAGGCGCGAAAGUGUGGGGAGCAAACAGGAUUAGAAACCCGUGUAGUCC
RNAcentral lists this ribosomal RNA (425 nucleotides) under uncultured bacterium. Its description in RNAcentral is "partial 16S ribosomal RNA". It matches the Rfam family "Bacterial small subunit ribosomal RNA", at positions 354 to 796 of the family's 1533-position model. The record is from RNAcentral.